GGUGUGGCCUGGAGCUUGACCGAGAGCAGCUCGAUGGGAGUAACAUGCAUUUUCUUGACAUGGGUGUACAGGUGGAGAGGUGCGGGUUGAAGGCUGCGGUAUUUCGUGGGCCUUCCUACCAGCCGGUCCUGGUGCCGUAUUGGUCCCCUGACCCUGCAUCGUGUAAAGCAGCUGCAUUCCGCUUCUAUUUUGAACGAGCAUACGAGUGCACCACAGACGGCGGUCGGUUGCAGGACGAACUUGGGUGCAUCUAUGCCACCGGAUGUGCACACGGAUGCGGUAAGCACUGCAUUGAUGGAGUUCACCGCCGGGUGCGAGCGGCCAACCGGCCUAAGCGG
Molecule: long non-coding RNA, 338 nt
Filed under: Androctonus crassicauda
Lineage: Eukaryota; Metazoa; Arthropoda; Arachnida; Scorpiones; Buthidae
Source: RNAcentral